RNAcentral lists this non-coding RNA (30 nucleotides) under Homo sapiens (human). Lineage: Eukaryota; Metazoa; Chordata; Mammalia; Primates; Hominidae. The record is from RNAcentral.
UAGCAAUGCUAUGCACACUGUGUGGCCUGU